This 936-nucleotide long non-coding RNA is filed under the name Homo sapiens (human). Its description in RNAcentral is "non-protein coding lnc-COG8-1:1". The record is from RNAcentral. Lineage: Eukaryota; Metazoa; Chordata; Mammalia; Primates; Hominidae.
AUACCUGAAAGCUGUCUUUAAAAAUGCAGAGAGCCCAGCACACGGCAGGAGUUGACAGCGGAUGAUGGAAUGGUAUUCACGGAAGGGGAGGCACGAAGAUUUGAGUGAAACGGACGCAUUUCAUGGGCCAGUGAUGCUGGCGGCACAUCCUCAACAAGCCAGCCUCACAAAGGGCUCUGCUUGGCAGGCAGACGGGAAGACUCCAGGGAAAAGGGGCCAGGCUGCACCCGGGCUGCCAGCAGCAGGCGGACCGUGACCAUGGUGGGAGGAAGCCUCCAGCCCUGGCUUCUCCUGGGGAAGACUCACCUCCUCCUGAUGGCCGAAUCCAACACCCAUGGGAUGUUUGUGGCUCCAAGAACCAGAGUCCCAUCAUUGUUAUUCCCCACCCCUGUGGAGAAAGGGAGACAAAGACUCAGACUCUGGACACCUGCACGGGUCAGUUGAAACCUGGGGACAGACCCCGGGGGCUUUGUGUGUCAGCAAUUGAAGCCAUCCCUGUGCCACCCACCACUGGCAGGGUCCCAAGUGAGAUUAAACCACAUCUUGGUCUGGCUGUGCCAGGUGAGACCUAUGGCACUGCCUGCCAUGGGAGGGGUGGAGUGGCCCGUGAGGCAGAGGCCUCAGGCACCUCUUGGGAAUUGAAGUCCACCCGUGCCCUGAGGGGCUGGAGCUGGGGAGUGCCUCUCCGAGGCUGAGAACAACCAAAUCCAGCCGCAGCUCAGAAUAAAGCCCAGGGUUGGCUUCAGGUGCAACAAGAACCAAGGGGGCCCUGGGCCCGGCACACACCCUGCAUCUGGACCAAGAACUCCGUUUUGAUCCUCCGGGCGGCCUCACUCUCAUUUUCAUUUCGGGACCCGCAGAGGGAAUCCACCUCAUCGAUGAAGAUGAUGGAGGGCUUGUGCUGCCUGGCCAGCUCAAACAGGUUCUUGACCAGCC